Long non-coding RNA from Ictalurus punctatus (channel catfish), 3375 nucleotides. The record is from Ensembl. Lineage: Eukaryota; Metazoa; Chordata; Actinopteri; Siluriformes; Ictaluridae.
CAAGACCAACUGAAUCCAAGAUCACGGGAACAUAACCAAGCUAUCCAAAGACCAGUAGCUGUUAUAACACCGCAGUCUAGAGCAAUCUUGCAAACUACACAAGUUGAGGACACCCUGACACCUGAUUAUGAUUCAUGCGCAUCAGGUGAUAUAAUGUAUAUUUGCCUUUUAUUUCGUUCUAUUUUCACCAUCCGUUCAGUGCAAAAAUCUCUCUCACAUUUACUUUGGUUUCUGUUCUUUUUUAGAUGUGUGUGAUGCUGACGAAGGACAAGCGGAGGAGGAAGGCUUUGAACAUGUUGAUAACACAUUUCAAAAUGGUCCAGACAAUGACAUUGUGGUUAUUUCUGAUGAUGAGUGUCCUGAAACGUCCACACAAGACCAACUGAAUCCAAGACCACGGGAACAUAACCAAGCUAUCCAAAGACCAGUAGCUGUUAUAACACCGCAGUCUAGAGCAAGCUUGCAAACUACACAAGUUGAGGUCACCCUGACAGUCAGUGAUGAUGAUUCAUGCGCAUCAGAUUUGAGUGAUGCUGACAAAGGACAAGCGGAGGAGGAAGGCUUUGAACAUGUUGAUAAUACAUUUCAAAAUGGUCCAGGAAUGAAGUCAAUGAACAAGAAACCAAAAGCCCAUCCAGUGAAAGGAGUGGUGGGACCGCAGAAGAGAAAAAAUCCUAAUCCAGCAGAAGGUCAGAAUCUAGCAAAAAAGAAGAGAAAGUCUCCAGCAUGUGUGGAUACAUCAUAUUUUCAUAAUUAUUUGUGUGCAGAUAACAUGCCUGUUCUAGCUCUAAUUCAACCCAAUGUGCAUUUUGUUAUGGUUCCUGCGGGUAACAUCACGGUUCAAACAUCUGGCAGGAGCGAUUCUUGCCAGCCUUCAGGUGGCCCAAUGAAUCGAUUUAAUAAUGAAGACACGAUCAACCAGAGAGCGACUAACAAUGCUGCAGUGUUUGAUGAAAACCUGUUGUUUCUAAGGAAAAACCGUGUUGAGUUAAUCGACAGGGUAAAAAAUGUCCCUGAAAUCCUCGAUCGCCUCAAAUUAUCCAACGAAAAAGCAGCGAUAGUGCGAGCAGAGAGGACAGAUCAGGAGAGGAUGAGGAAGCUUCUGGAGUUCACGACCAGCACACAUGGUGCAAAGUUUCUAGUCACAGCCUUGUGGAGCUGCGCAAGCGAUGUCAUGGAAGACCUGACCAACACCAACUACAAUGACCUUGUGGUUAUUUCUGAUGACGAGUGUCCUGAAACGUCCACACAAGGCCAACUGAAUCUAAGAUCACGGGAACAUAAACAAGCUAUCCAAAGACCAGUAGCUGUUAUAACACCGCAGUCUAGACCAAUCUUGCAAACUACACAAGUUGAGGACACCCUGACAGUCAGUGAUGAUGAUUCAUGCGCAUCAGAUGUGAGUGAUGCUGACGAAGGACAAGCGGAGGAGGACGUUCCGGAAAAUAACAGAUUAGAAGAGAUCAGCAUCGCAGUGAGAGAAUUCUUAGACAGAAAAGCUGCUUUAUUGGAGAGCUUUGAACAUUUUGAUAAUAUAUCUCAGAAUGCUCCAGGUUGGGUUUGUGUACAAUCAAUGCACAGUACCCUCGAAUCCAUGAAUAGUUGUGCCACAGCGAACAUAAAUUUGCUAAAAAAAAUCAAUGAAAGGUAUGGCACAGAAAUGCCCGAUUUACAUUUCAGUUACAUAUUCCAAAAAAAGGAAAAGUGAAAAUACUCUGACAUCACCUCAUGAUUAAAUAGUCUUUACGUUGGGACACCCAUAUUUAUCUGAUGCAAUCAACCAGCUGAAUGAAAUUUUAGCUCCGUCACACCAGUUCGUUAGUCCGAGCCCUAGUCAGAGUUCCAAUCACAAUGUAACAAAUACACCAGUGAGCCAAUACGAUAUAUUCUAUGAACUCUGCGAAAGUCUGUUAAGAUUACAGAAUAGCCUAAACGAACAUUCUGUACAAUUAAACCCUGAUUUAAUCGAAGCAGUCAACCAGUUGAAUGAAAAUUUGACUAUCUCCUGAACACAACUUCAAUAUCUUCUCAACUCCUGAACUCUCACAGGAACAUAGACCCUUUUAUGUUCAUCUGUUAUACGAACUUAAUGAAAGUCUUAUGAGGUUAAAUGACAGUCUGGUUAACUUAAUCAAACCCCCUGCCAAUAUUCCACAAAAUUUGGGAAAUGAUAAUGAGUACGUCCCUCCAAUGGAAAACAUAUCAUCACCUAAUAUCCACGAUUUGCAAAUGGAAGACAUGCCAUCACCUAAUAUCCAAGAUGGUAAUGGGAUAGAUCCUAAUAUUAGAAUAAUUAAUAAUGACAGAUUCAACACCAAGAUUAGGAGAAGAGUGAAUUUUUCUUAAUGUCACUAAUCACUAAUUUCAACAGCUUUGUGGAAUUUUAUAAUUAUGAUUUAAACAGUGUGAUUGAAAUCGCUAAUUAUUUAAUUUCAUCUGAAGAUUUUGUCACAGGUGAAAUUAGAGGUGAUACACUCAAUGUUUCAUGGCGCAUUCAGUUAGUCAAUGUUGCCAUCGUUUUACAUUCUUUUAUAACCAUGUCCAAAAAUGCCAUUCAGAGUAAACGUGAAAUAAUAAUUAUUAUUAAAACACUGAAAUAGUCAUCUAAAUUGUCUGACCAACCUUGGGGUGGUGCAUCUAGAAGGACAACAGACAAGAGACUGAUUAAACCGCUGAAUGCUAAUGUAUUCAUUGGCAUUUUCACUAUAGCAUAUGCUAGACUUGAAUUGUACGAUCUGAUGGAUCGAUUACAACAGUGUUGUUUGGACACAGACACCGACGGCAUCAUUUUUAAAAGUAGGGAAGGUAAUUGAAUGCCACCUUUAAGCAAUUACUUUGGUGGUCUUAACAGCGACCUAGAUGAUGGCGAUCAAAUCGUAGAAUUCGUAAGUGCAGGUCCAAAAAAGUUAGGGUUACAAAACUGUCAAAGGAAAAGCAGCUAUGAAAGCUAAAGGCAUUACUUUAAAUUAUACCAAUUCCGAAGUUGUCAAUUUAAAAUCGCUGACAGAGCUGGUGGACAUGCGAGUGAACAAUUCAGAUCAAACUAGUCAACUUAUCACCUCACAUAACCAAAUUGUGCGAGAUAAAAAGUUAUUUAAUUUGAGAAAUAAAUCACAGUUAAAAAAGGUUUAUAAGCCUGCUUUAUUACCUGAUUUCACAACUCUCCCUUAUGAUUAUUAAGACUUUUCAUGUAUAUAUGUAAUGUUGUUUCUGUUUGUGUUUUGUAAUGGAAAAUAUGAACCUUUUUAUGUAUUGUAUGUGGUACAAGUAAAUCGUAUUUUGUUAUUAUAAUAAUUUUAUUAUUAUAUAUGUGUGUUUGCAACCUCUGUAUGAUGAAUCGAUGACCAGAAUAAAUAUAAUUUUUUUUUCAAGGAA